This 253-nucleotide ribosomal RNA is filed under the name uncultured Peredibacter sp. RNAcentral describes it as "partial 16S ribosomal RNA". It matches the Rfam family "Bacterial small subunit ribosomal RNA", at positions 524 to 776 of the family's 1533-position model. The record is from RNAcentral. Lineage: Bacteria; Pseudomonadati; Bdellovibrionota; Bacteriovoracia; Bacteriovoracales; Bacteriovoracaceae.
UACGAAGGGUGCAAGCGUUGUUCGGAAUCAUUGGGCGUAAAGCGCGCGCAGGCGGAUUGAUAAGUCAGGUGUGAAAUCUCGAGGCUCAACCUCGAAACUGCGCCUGAAACUAUUAGUCUAGAAUGUCGGAGGGGGCAGGGGAAUUUCACGUGUAGGGGUAAAAUCCGUAGAGAUGUGAAGGAACACCGGGGGCGAAGGCGCCUGCCUGGACGACUAUUGACGCUGAGGCGCGAAAGCGUGGGGAGCAAACAGG